Long non-coding RNA from Gordionus sp. m RMFG-2023, 322 nucleotides. RefSeq lists it as uncharacterized. NCBI's taxonomy places the organism in Eukaryota, Metazoa, Nematomorpha, Gordioida, Chordodea, Parachordodidae. The record is from RefSeq and is a predicted model, not a curated record. The transcript has 3 exons.
CUUCAAAUAAAUUUAAACUUCAAACUGGGUAGAAUAAAGGAGAGUUUUAAUGUCGCAGUAUGCAUCUAUGAAUUUAGGGAUGAGAAUGAAACAAACAUUUGCAAUCCCUAUGAAUUCAUGUGUAAUGGAAGAGUUGAACCUAGAUGCAUAGGAUGGAAUAGAUUUCAAGAUGGUCAUAAUGAUUGCUCUGAUGGCGUUGAUGAAAUCUGUUUAGGCUGGCAAUUUGACUGUGGAAUAGGGGACAAAAACAAUCCGAAAUGUAUUUUGAACAACUUCUUAAAUAAUGGUAGAAAAGACUGUUUAAAUGGAAUCGAUGAAUUUC